UGUUUUUCGAGAACAAAAUUC
RNAcentral lists this non-coding RNA (21 nucleotides) under Caenorhabditis elegans. Lineage: Eukaryota; Metazoa; Nematoda; Chromadorea; Rhabditida; Rhabditidae. The record is from RNAcentral.